RNAcentral lists this long non-coding RNA (2786 nucleotides) under Setaria italica (foxtail millet). RNAcentral's name for it is "long non-coding RNA (SITA_LNC004060)". Lineage: Eukaryota; Viridiplantae; Streptophyta; Magnoliopsida; Poales; Poaceae. The record is from RNAcentral.
UAGUUGUGGGCCUGCAAUCUUGUUGCCACGUAGAACAUCCUGUGUGGCGUGAUUACUCAGCAAAACGGCCAUCUAGUCAGCAAAACCAGAUUAGGGUGAGGGUCAAAGGUGAAUACUGAAAAUAAAGGGGUUAAGUAAACAAAAGCAAAUUUUAGGGGUUAUUCAAACUUUGCUCAUAGAUCGUGCAGUAAUUUGGACUUUCUCCGUGAAAUUAUCAGAAUUUCCUCGUGCGAUUUGGUUUUUAACAGUAGUUUAGGCGUGCUUGACCUUUUUUUAUACGGAUGGUUACGAUUUAAAUGUUAUCAUUACGUGAUUAAGUUCGCCACAACUUAGACGAGUUGAAAAAUUAUAGAAUCCCGUAAAUCAGUCCUGGACUUGCAAUUCCGUAGGCGGUAGGAAGUUGGCGGCCAACGACGCUCGGUUCAAAGCUGCAACAACCUCCUCGGCCAUAUCGCCGCUGCUCGUAUAUCCCUUUCCUGCCCGUCUCUUCGUCCCGACCUCACCGCUGCUCGGACUCAAGCGGCGGCGCGCCCUCAGCCCUCGUCCACUCCGGGCCGGCCACGCGGCCACGCCCCUCCUCCAUUCGGGGUCCUGCUCCAUCCACGCUAACGAGACGACCGACUACCGCAUGGGGUGGAAGUGGAAAGCAGCAUGGUAGCUCUGCCCCUUGUCGUCCCGCUCACCGGCCGAGCCGAAGAGCACCCACCACGCCUCAAGUUGAUAUCUCCAGUGCGCAAGGUGACAAAACCCCGUCUCGGUUUGUUAGUUUUUUUUAACACUGAUUAUUUGCUAAAUUGCUAGCUCCCUCCCUUCAUGCAGUCAUGCACUCAUUUGCUUUCAAUGAUGGCCACGAUUGUUGAGUCUAGAGAAAAAGAAAAGUGGGAUAGGGUGAUAUUUGAGUAUCUAAAGUUCUAAACAACAAAAUAUGGAAGAAUGUGUAACUUCUGUAAACAUUCUUAGGCUUAGCAGAGCAUCUUUCUUCCGUUUUUGUAAGCUUUUCAGGAUGUGUAUGUGUGUUGAGCAACAUGUUGCUAUGUUCUUGAAUCAGGCAUGACCAUGAUACUGCUGGCGCGCAGCCUACGCUCCAGCCUCCGCCCGCCGCUUGCCGCCGGGUUCUCCUCGGCCCCGACUGCGGCAUCGUCGUCGGCGGCCGCGGCGGAGGCGGAGCGGUCGAUACGGGACGGGCCGCGGAACGACUGGAGCCGACCCGAGAUCCAGGCCGUCUACGACUCCCCGCUCCUCGACCUCCUCUUCCACGGGGUUCGUACCCCUGCCUGGGCUGGACACUCGCGUUAAUGCUCUCUGGUUGUGUUCGUGUUUGGUGCUGAACUGCUGAUUAAUGGUGAUGCCAGAAAUUUAGCGAAAGAUUCUACCUUUCAAGCUUAUAUAAGCGCUGAAGGCCGUAGAUUUGCUGCUAAGGUUGUACGUUUAGGAUCUUUGGGCUGUAAAGGUUGAAUUUGGAGCAUCAGAGGUGAAGCCUGCCUUCUCUCAGAUGCUCGCUAAAUGUCAUUUUUGUUGUUGCCUAGUGGAGAUUGCUACAUAGUUACAGCUCGGGGGUAAUGCCAAAAGGUUUCAUCCGGGGAGGAUUUCAUGUUCUCGUGGCAAUUAGCGAUAGCGAUUGACAUUUCAGCUAUGUGGGGCUUUGCGUUGAGGACAGUGGAUAUUUCUAUUUGCUUUAUCAGAUAUAUCUGAAGAUUAUACUUAUACGCUAGCUGUGCUGGUGGAUGUUUUUCAGCAUUCACAUGCAUGUUCAGCCUUCAUUCGAUGGAUUUAUUAGAUUAAUAAUAUUGAUAUGACACCCAAUUUCUUUGUAUGGUGUCACUUUAGGCUUGCCUCUUAGCAGCGGAAAGACCUGAUUUAUUGACAGUAAUGUCAACAUUAUUGGGUUUAUUUUUUCCUUAGCAUCUGGAAUUUUUCACUCACAAUCUAUAAACACUGAAAUGCUACCACUGAUACAAAGUAGUAUAAGUCGUAGCAUAUUAUGAUGGUUGCAUUUUGGAGCCUGUUGGUUAUUUAGAGUUUCCUUAAAUUGAUGAUGUCUUUUCAUCAUGUAAAAGUUUUGAGUUUAUUGCCCCUGCAAGAAAAGAUAUCAGAUGGUGCGUACUGCAGUAUCAUCUUAUAAAGAAAUUAUUACGUUUAUAUCGAAUUGGUGUCAGUUAGCAAGUCUACAGAAACUGUGAGAUAUUUAUAGCAUCUGUAGUGUUGGUAGGAAGGUACUGCCCUCAAGGGCAUUUAAAAGGUAUAGUGUGGAAAUUCAUAUCAAGCAUUUUUUUAAGGUGUUCUUUGAUAGUUGGGAUUGCAGGUAAUGCAAAAUUUCACUUUUAGUAGGUUUUAUAUGGUGGGAAAUGUAUAUAGAAGUUUGUAGUUUAUACUGCUACAAAUUUCUAAAGUUUGAUGCUACCUGUAAGAAAGGCUAGUUCUUGUUAUAAAACAUGGAAUAAGGAUCAGGCUUCAGGCAUGGUGAUCCAUAGUUUGGCAAUUAUUGCAUGAUAGUCUGAUAAUAAACAAAUUUUGCGUGCCCAAUGCCCAAUUCAAUAUGUUUGGUCACAGUAACAUAUUCAUUUGGUGUAGAACGAUGACCUUCCUGGAUGUCUGGAUCCACCAUGGAUUGUAAGAAGUUAUUCCAUAGAUUGCUAGUCUGUAAAAAGAAUAGAUAUAUAAGAAAAUGAAACAAUUCAAAUGAUUUAUUAUUCUGCUGAUGAACACCAUAUUUUUACUGUAUCGGUUUACCUGUAAUGGAGCAUUUAGCUUUCAUGUCACCAUGUCACCAUGUUGUUCUUCUCAUU